Molecule: long non-coding RNA, 4730 nt
Organism: Solanum tuberosum (potato)
Lineage: Eukaryota; Viridiplantae; Streptophyta; Magnoliopsida; Solanales; Solanaceae
Exons: 5
Source: RefSeq, a predicted model, not a curated record
UAUACCCCUAUCGGACCGUUGCACACACUCACUCUCUUAUCAUCCUCACAAAUCUCACCGUUUUUUAAUGAAAUUCUUGAUUUCAAUAAAGAUUUUUUUAUCGAUUUCAAUGAAAUUCUUCAGUAAUCUCUUUGAUUAGUUUCAAUUUCAGAUUUAGGAAAAGAGGAAAAACCGUAGCUUAGUGUUUUUGUGUGAGCCAGUGAAAAAUAUGAAUCGGUAUCAUACAUAUGAAGCUUUUGGCCACGAAAACACUUGACUAAAAGAAGAAAAACCCUAGCUAAGUGAUUUUGUAUGAGCAAGUGAAAAAAAUAUGAAUCAGUAUCAUACAUAUGAAGUUUUUGGCCGUGCAAGACGCUGACUAUAUAUAAAGGAAGAAACAAGAAGACAAUCGAGUAUUUUGCGAUUAAAAGUGUGGAUAAAUCUCAGAAAAACAAGGUUCUUGAAAGUUGAUUUAGGAUAUUUGAAGAAAUAAAGUGAACUUGAGGCAAAAAGAGGUCAAGAGCUGAAAAAUGCAAUGAGGAGUUUCAAGAAAAGUUGAAUAAAUUCGACAUUGAGAGGAAGGAACAAGAACUUGCUGCCAAAAAUGCUCAAAGCCAUCAACAAAAAGUGGAGAGCUUGGAUAGCAUCACCGUGAUUGGAAAAGAAGAAGAGGAAAUCGAUGAAUCUGAAAUUACUAAAGGUAGUUUUCUCCAAGACUAUUGCUUGUUCAUUCUGUUAUUACUAUUUUAUGUUUUGUUGACAAGGUUCUCAUUCUGAAAAAACAUAUGGUGGAGGGAUUGAAUUUGAUUUCACCUACAACAACUAAAACGUACACAACAUAAUGUCAUAAAGUGGGGUUUGAGGAGGGUAGAGUGUAAACCGACCUUUUCCUUACCUUGGGAGGUAGAGUGAUUAAACUGUUUUCGAUGGACCCUUAGUUGUAUUUGCUUGCACCUCUAAGUAUAAAACUGUGAAAGUGCCUGAUUUAUCCUCUUGAUAACAUUGGUAUUUGGGCACCGUAUAUUGUAUUACAUAGUACUGUAUGUUUAACUAUGCACAUGAAGUUGUAGGUAGAUGAGAAGAUAUCACCUAGUGUCGUCUUUUGUGAAAUUUGAACCUUAGUUCCUAAGCUGUUACUUGAUCUAUUUGAUUGCUAGGCCACCCUAUUGGGAAGAAGAUAAUUUACGAUUGAAUUGGGAACCAAGCUGCAAAAUUUAUUAGCUACCCAAUAGCUCUCUUAGAAAUUUGAUAACUUCAUAAUACUUUUGAUUUUUAAUUGUAGUCUACUUUUUUAGAGGAAUAGAUACAAAGGAAAAAUGUUAUGUUACAGGGUAAUUAUAUGUGAACCCUCCUCAGUAUGGACUUUAGAAACUGUCAGCUUACAACACAUUGUUGUGUAAGUUAUAUUCAUUGACUUGCGGUAAAAUUCUAUUGGUGCUUGCUAAUCUACAGUGCUAAUGGAUCAGCUUACUCAAUUGUUUUAACAUUAUCUAUAGUUCUUGCAAAUCUUCAAAAGCAGCUAAACUACUUCAAAAUGUAUAUGCUUUUCGUAAGCGUGGUCUUAGAAAACAACUUGCCUCAUCAUAUAUCUAGAUGUUAAGGAUUGUUGAUGCUUGUGACUAUUGUAGUUAUGAGAUUAUUGGAAAUUAUAUGAGUCAUAACACAUUCUUUCUAUUAUGUGGCAUAAAUUUGAAGUCUCGUGAACAAAUGAUCAAGAACCCCAACCUCUUUUCUUAAAAUCUAUUUCCUUCAGUUUCCUCUAUUCAUGUACUUAUUCUUCUAUGGCUACAUUUGCUAUAGGUCAGAAUUCUUCAUUCUAUAGAUCAUGCAAAUGUAUUGAAGUUCUACUCCUGCUGAGAUUUAUCUUUUUCAUGUCUUCCAUGUAACCCCUCUCUUUUUCUUCAAUUCUGUUUAUGUGGUAAAGGUCAUUUUGGUGUUUAAUAAGAAGGUUUCUCUGACAUAUUUUCUAAUUCAACCUAUCCAUAGGUAUGAAACAUCUGCACACCUAUGGUUGGUUUUAGAAUAUUUUGUUGGAAGAAAUCUCAUGAGCUUAUUGCAGCAGGUAAGCACUGGCAGGUCUGCUAUUUUAUAAAUACAUUUCAUUGUUCCAGUGGUAUAACUAUUGUGUUGGAAUAUUAUGCUGACAUUAGACACGAACAUCCAAAAUAUGUGACACACCCUAAUUCUUCUUGGUCAUUUUUUUAGUAGAGGCGUGGGAUAUUGAGGUUUCAUGGUAAAUUUGUUGCAUGCCUACAUUGGGAUUUCCCAAACAGGCACUAAGGACAUCAGUGUCAUGUGUGAUUGAACACUUUCAUAGAGUCAUUUGUAGUCUCACAAAUAAAGGUAACUUGUUUCUUGUGCCAGCAAAAUGAUGUGAAAGAAAUAGGUUUCUUUUUUAUUUGUAUUUAAAGAGUAGUCAAAAUGACCACAGUUUACUGUAGUUGGUAAUGUAACAACUUGCAUCUGCAUCAUCUUACCUAUAUUUUAGUUUAAACCACACCUGGGAGAUUUUAACAUCUUUUAAUCUCUGGUUGAAGAUGGUAAGCUUCUUGAAUAUUCAAUACAUGAACAUGCUUGUGGCCUUGUUAGAGCUCUUCUGCAAGUUAGUAACUUUAGCCUUCAUUGUUCUUUUGUAACACGUUGUUGUUGGCAUGAAUUAUUUUUUGGUGUUUUGUCUACUAUACCAGAUACUUGCAUUCAAAGGGAAUAAUUUACUGUGACUUAAAGCUAUCAAACAUCCUGUUGGAUGAAAAUGGGAUCACGAAAGUAUGGUGAUAUUUAUGUUGUGAUUUUUACACAUCAUGAUGAGCUUUUUACCAGUUAUGUGAUGUUAAAGUUCUAUUUGUUUCCUGGCAGCUGUGUGAUUUUGGAUUAGCAAGAAAAUUGAGUGAUAUAUAAAAAACACCUUCCUCCCAGGUAGUUCACCUCUAUCUUCCCUCUUUUUUACCCUAAAAUGAACAAAGAAAAAGUUAAAUUGGUGGCAUAUCUGUUUGGAAGUUCAUUAAAGGUAAACUGUUUGGAAGUGCUUUUGACCAAUUAUAUGACGUUGAAGUUCAAUCAUGCUUCCUUUUCCUCUUCUAGUUCUUAUAAAAAUAUGAUUUCUCUGAUAUCUCAAAACCAUCUACGAACCUUUCAGAUAUUAUUUGGCGUCCAUCUGAUUUCUCAGUCUGAACUGUAAUGCCUCACAGAAAAUCAGAUAAAGGUUCAGAUGCAAUUCCUUCACUUUCAUUUGAUGCACCACCUCAACUGUUUGAUUUUGUCAAAAUGUCAAAUGAGCAAUAAGAAUAGUAGAAUCAUCAUUAUUAGUGGGAAUACUCCCUAAGGGGAGAAGCAAAAUGUGAUCAGAUACCUUGAGCUUUUUUAGCAUCAAAGCUGAUGUAACCAACAUCUUGAUCAAUGACUCUAUUGUGUUGGUUCUAGCCAAAAUGCUUAGUCACUCCAAGGUUUAUCUGUUGCAUGCUCAAUUUUCUUAACUUAUUGGCUUGUUGAUUCGUCACUCUACUUUUUUUGGGGAUGAGCUGGAAAAUUCUGGAAUAUUAGGUGCACUAACUGAUGGUCUGAGAGACAUGCAACAGAGAGUGAGAAGGUUUUCCAUGGCUGCUUUGGGCGAAUUACUAUUUUAUAUAUCUACUAUAAAUGAGCAUGCCCAGGAUAAUAAACCAAUGGAAUCUCCAUCUAAGGACAGCUGACCCUCAUCCUAUUGGCAGGUUACAAGUCCAAUAAUAUCAUUGGUUUCAUCACUUUUACGAAACGAAGAGGAUGACUUACUCAGCUUUAUGCUCUAAGGACAAUUGAAAAUAUCUCCAAUCAAGAAGGGUAUUUGUCAGCUUGUUUCACCAGCCAAGAUGUCAUUACUAACCUAUGCUACAUAUUUAGGGCUCCUGGAAAGCAGGAGAUCAUGAGGCUGACAACAGCGUCUUGCUUGCUCGUCUUGUUCGUUUUAGCCCUUCUAGUAUUCAACGAGUCAUGGAAAAACUUUCAUUCAAGGUUAUGGUUUCAAGCCUGGUCAAGCGUAAUCCACGAGAGCAACAAAUCUGCUUAAACAUUCGAACAUGAACCCCCUUGAAAGUCAUACACCUCCAAGUGUUGGAAGGUACCUUCUUGCCUUGGUCGAAGACAACAAUCUUGUUUUGUAUCUGUUGACUCUAAUUGAGCAGGGAAGUGAAGUUUAGAAGGGAAAGGCACUAAUAUUUGUGGCUUUACUUUGUAUGAAUGGGAAGAGGUGGCUGCCACAAUUUUUUUUCCAAUGCUAAAUUGCUCUCGACCAUUGAUAAGUUGGUUGAGAAGAAUGACGUUGUGAAGCAGUGUUUAGAUGCACUUGGGAUGUCUGUCACAUCAAGUGUACCAAGUUUACUUGAGUGUAUAUCUGGGGACAUUCAGCAACUGAAAGGUGGUAAGCGCCGUGGGAAGAUAAGUAGCGUCACAAGUCAAAAUUCUUCUAAGAAAUGCAUUUAUUUCGUGUUGUUCGGCAUCUUCUUGGGUGCGCUUCACUGAAAAGAAGGAUUGCUAGUCAUGAGGUUCUGCAACAGUUGGCAAAUCUGCUUAAACUGGUGAAGUUUCCAUUCCAGGUAAUCUGAUGAUUAUCCUCAUUACAUUUUCUAAUUGAAACAUAAUUGACCAUGUUUAAGAAUUAUUUUUGUUGUUGUUAAUAUAAAGUUAAGUGAAGUUCAAGAAAUUAGUUCAUUGACAAAUCUAUAUCUGAAAAUCUUUAGUUAGUUAUGUAUAGCGUGAAUUUUUGAGGUAUUUUUAUG